AUUGAACGCUGGCGGCAUGCCUUACACAUGCAAGUCGAACGCCCCGCAAGGGGAGUGGCAGACGGGUGAGUAACGCGUGGGAAUCUACCGUACCCUACGGAACAACAGUUGGAAACGACUGCUAAUACCGUAUACGCCCUUAGGGGGAAAGAUUUAUCGGGGUAUGAUGAGCCCGCAUUGGAUUAGCUAGUUGGUGGGGUAAAGGCCUACCAAGGCGACGAUCCAUAGCUGGUCUGAGAGGAUGAUCAGCCACAUUGGGACUGAGACACGGCCCAAACUCCUACGGGAGGCAGCAGUGGGGAAUAUUGGACAAUGGGCGCAAGCCUGAUCCAGCCAUGCCGCGUGAGUGAUGAAGGUCUUAGGAUUGUAAAGCUCUUUCACCGAUGAAGAUAAUGACGGUAGUCGGAGAAGAAGCCCCGGCUAACUUCGUGCCAGCCGCCGCAGUAA
RNAcentral lists this ribosomal RNA (447 nucleotides) under uncultured bacterium. RNAcentral's name for it is "partial 16S ribosomal RNA". It matches the Rfam family "Bacterial small subunit ribosomal RNA", at positions 30 to 523 of the family's 1533-position model. The record is from RNAcentral.